RNAcentral lists this transfer RNA (76 nucleotides) under Oscillospiraceae bacterium. Its description in RNAcentral is "tRNA-Val". It matches the Rfam family "tRNA". From Rfam's summary of the family: Transfer RNA (tRNA) molecules are approximately 80 nucleotides in length. Their secondary structure includes four short double-helical elements and three loops (D, anti-codon, and T loops). Further hydrogen bonds mediate the characteristic L-shaped molecular structure. tRNAs have two regions of fundamental functional importance: the anti-codon, which is responsible for specific mRNA codon recognition, and the 3' end, to which the tRNAs corresponding amino acid is attached (by aminoacyl-tRNA synthetases). tRNAs cope with the degeneracy of the genetic code in two manners: having more than one tRNA (with a specific anti-codon) for a particular amino acid; and 'wobble' base-pairing, i.e. permitting non-standard base-pairing at the 3rd anti-codon position. RNAcentral also lists the same sequence under 1 other name. The record is from RNAcentral. Lineage: Bacteria; Bacillati; Bacillota; Clostridia; Eubacteriales; Oscillospiraceae.
GGACGUUUAGCUCAGCUGGUAGAGCACCUGCUUGACGUGCAGGUUGUCAGCGGUUCGAUUCCGUUAACGUCCACCA